This 772-nucleotide ribosomal RNA is filed under the name uncultured bacterium. RNAcentral describes it as "bacterial SSU rRNA". It matches the Rfam family "Bacterial small subunit ribosomal RNA", at positions 92 to 838 of the family's 1533-position model. The record is from RNAcentral.
AAAGUGGCGCACGGGUGAGUAACGCGUAAGUAAUCUACCUUUGCAUCUGGAAUAACUACGGGAAGCUGUAGCUAAUACCGGAUACGUUCUCCAUUCUACGGAUUGGAGAAGAAAGAUGACCUCUUCUUGAAAGUUAUCGUGCAAAGAGGAGCUUGCGUACCAUUAGCUAGUUGGUAGGGUAAUGGCCUACCAAGGCAACGAUGGUUAGCGGGUCUGAGAGGAUGAUCCGCCACACUGGAACUGGAACACGGACCAGACUCCUACGGGAGGCAGCAGUGAGGAAUAUUGCGCAAUGGGGGAAACCCUGACGCAGCGACGCCGCGUGGAUGAUGAAGGCCUUAGGGUCGUAAAAUCCUGUCAGAUGGGAAGAAAUGUAUAGGGGAAUAAUACCUCUUAUGCUUGACGGUACCAUCAAAGGAAGCACCGGCUAACUCCGUGCCAGCAGCCGCGGUAAUACGGAGGGUGCAAACGUUGUUCGGAAUUACUGGGCGUAAAGCGCGCGUAGGCGGUUUGUUAAGUCAGAUGUGAAAGCCCAAGGCUCAACCUUGGACGUGCAUUUGAAACUAGCAGACUUGAGUACUGGAGGGGAUGGUGGAAUUCCCGGUGUAGAGGUGAAAUUCGUAGAUAUCGGGAGGAAUACCGGUGGCGAAGGCGACCAUCUGGCCAGAUACUGACGCUGAGGUGCGAAAGCAUGGGGGAGCAAACAGGAUUAGAUACCCUGGUAGUUCCAUGCCGUAAACGAUGUCAACUAGGUGUUGGGGGCGGUUUAAUC